AAGGUUUGCAUUUUUUUAACUUUUAAUUUGCAAAUCACAUUUUAGUCAAUAGUUAUGAUGUUUAUAAUUAAUAUUUUCCUCUUACUCUAAUUUCCUUUCACCCACUUUUUUUUAAGUAUGGCUAACAACCGACACCUUCCCCCGGAUAUGUCACUACUCCGCCUUCAGCAUGAACAUAUUACAAAGGACUUAUGGGAAGACAACGAACGAGUUUUUAGACCAAGACGAACUGGAGUCUGGAUUCUAAACAACCAAGAUUUAAUUGAUCCGCGUGUCAAAUUUUUAAUGGAACAGGCUGGUUUUGGACACGCAUUGUAUAUUCCAGACAUGGAUGUCAAUCACCUUCUAAUCACUUCCUUAUUAGAAAGGUGGAGGACAGAAACUCAUACAUUCCACUUCCCACAUGGAGAGACCAUUGUGACAUUAUAGGAUGUGGUAGUCCUCCUUGGCCUACCGAUAGAUGGAGAUGUGGUCACCGAUCCCACCAUCGUGUAAGACAUAUUCUCGAUGUUCCACGAACAUCUGGUGGUAAUUCCACCACCGACGAUGAUAAGAGGAAACUCAAUUAGAGUUUCUUGGUUAAAUAGUACUUUCGAACAAAUCCUACAAAAUACAAACAACAAUGUUAUUGCUCAAUAUGCAAGAGCGUAUAUACUAACAUUGAUUAGAAGCAUUUUAAUGCCAAACACGUCUGCUACAAGGGUACAUGUGAUGUAUCUACUUAGGCUAGCUGACUUGAAUGUAGUCAGCAAUUAUAGUUGGGGGGUCUGCCGUUUUGGCCUAUCUAUAUUGUGGCCUAGAUCAUGGCAUUCACCUAAGGCAAGAAAAUAUUGGUGGAUGCAUGAUUUUGUUACAAUGUUGGGCUUGGGAGAGGAUCACUUCUAUAGCUCCACAACUUGACCCUUUAAGUGAUGAGGAAGUGGUUGCAGGGGAUGGUUUUCUCGUAUGUAGAAGUUCUUAUGGAGGCCUUAUAUUCAAAAUGAAGUUCGUCGGUUGAUUGUGGUUGACAUCCCUAUAGUGGCUAGAGCAACAAUCCCUAUAAUUUGCUUCGCGACAGUCAAAUUCCAUCAGGCGGAUAAGGUCAUGCGUCAAUUUGGUUUAAGACAAAACAUCUCGCCUAACCCAAUUAACCUCGAUUAAUUCCACAUGAAUGACUUGAUGGGAGAAAUGAAAGAGAUUGGGUGGCACAUCAUCACCGUUGGAUUGCAAUUUGGAAUGAUCGACAAAAUCGGGUCAUUCAAGGUACACCAUUUAGUGGAAAUGACCAUAUGCGUGAUGAAACACCCUACAUGCAAUGAUAUAUAAACCACACUAUCCGCUAUAUAUCUCCAAUUACGGAAUCUUCUGAUGAUGAGUAUGAUAUGUCACAAGAACCAUCCCAACCUGCUUCACAACCUUACACUGGCCCUGUCGGGUCUUCUCCAGAUUUUAUACAUCAUCCCCAACAAUUUUUUGGGCAAUCGUCUAUGGGUCACGGUUAAAUGUUUGGACAUUCAUACCCUCAGUUUGACAACCCAUCAAACACCCAAUUCUAACAUGUCCCUUCCUCGUACGGUUUCUUCCCGCAUCAGUCAGGUUAUGGUGUUGGUCCAUCACAAAUGUUUGGCACUUCAACCAUGACACCAUCAUCCGCCUAUUAUUCAGGAUCUUCUUCAUCAAUACCAUUCUAUCCUCCGCCAAUGCCUUCUCAAACUCCCCAAACAACGGUUCACCAUCCCCAAUUUUCUCAAAGUCAUCAACAUGAAGAUGAUGAUCAUGAUGAACCACACCAAGAAAAACCACCAACACGACCAACCAGACCCAGAAGACGACCUCCAUGUGGAACUGGAGGACAUAGAUGAUU
Long non-coding RNA from Vigna unguiculata (cowpea), 1843 nucleotides. Lineage: Eukaryota; Viridiplantae; Streptophyta; Magnoliopsida; Fabales; Fabaceae. The record is from RefSeq and is a predicted model, not a curated record.